Molecule: ribosomal RNA, 467 nt
Filed under: uncultured bacterium
Lineage: Bacteria
Description: partial 16S ribosomal RNA
Rfam family: Bacterial small subunit ribosomal RNA
Source: RNAcentral
GACGAACGCCGGCGGCGUGCUUAACACAUGCAAGUCGAACGAUGACGACCGAGCUUGCUCGGUCUGAUUAGUGGCGAACGGGUGAGUAACACGUGAGCAACCUGCCCUUCACUCUGGGAUAACCUCGGGAAAUCGGGGCUAAUACCGGAUAUGAGCUCCUGUCGCAUGGCGGGUGUUGGAAAGUUUUUCGGUGAAGGAUGGGCUCGCGGCCUAUCAGUUUGUUGGUGAGGUAGUGGCUCACCAAGGCGAUGACGGGUAGCCGGCCUGAGAGGGCGACCGGCCACACUGGGACUGAGACACGGCCCAGACUCCUACGGGAGGCAGCAGUGGGGAAUAUUGCACAAUGGGCGAAAGCCUGAUGCAGCGACGCCGCGUGAGGGAUGACGGCCUUCGGGUUGUAAACCUCUUUCAGCAGGGAAGAAGCGAAAGUGACGGUACCUGCAGAAGAAGCGCCGGCUAACUACGUG